This is a long non-coding RNA of Solanum tuberosum (potato), 414 nucleotides long. RefSeq lists it as uncharacterized. The transcript is spliced from 3 exons. Lineage: Eukaryota; Viridiplantae; Streptophyta; Magnoliopsida; Solanales; Solanaceae. The record is from RefSeq and is a predicted model, not a curated record.
CAACCUGCUUGGCUCAAGAUGUCUAAUCUUCUCACUGCUGCUGCAACACUUCUUCCUGGUGAAUCUUCUCAAGAUGUUGGACGAUGGUGUUGCUGCCCUGGGAGCACCACCUGCCAGUAAACAAGUCAUGGCAAACCUCCCAGUUACUAUUGUCAUAAAUGAGUUCUUGAUGAAGCUUGGUACAUAUAUGGAGUAUCCAAUUUUCAGGGAGGUGUUAGUUUUAGAUUACAAGAUGCAAGAGUUUCCCAGCAAGCAUAUGUUUCACCUCCUUGCCUGAAGCAAUGGUUGGUAAGUGAGGUGAAGAUUGUCAAACAACAUAUAAGGAUAAAUAGACAAAUAGCAUUAAUUGUACUAUUCUCCCGUCAUAGAUGUGGUAUAAUGUCCUAAGGAAGCAUACAAGAAAGCAAGGAGCUA